This 538-nucleotide ribosomal RNA is filed under the name uncultured fungus. RNAcentral describes it as "eukaryotic LSU rRNA". The stretch from base 191 to 344 matches the Rfam family "5.8S ribosomal RNA". The record is from RNAcentral. Lineage: Eukaryota; Fungi.
AAGUCGUAACAAGGUUUCCGUAGGUGAACCUGCGGAAGGAUCAUUACUGUAGGAGCCUCGCGGCUCCUGCUGAGAUUGCACCCAUUGUCUUUGGCGCACCGUACGUUUCCUCGGCAGGCCCGCCUGCCAACGGGGACCCCAAACAAAACCUUUUGUAGUAGUAGUAAACGUCUAAAACACAAAUAAUCAAAACUUUCAACAACGGAUCUCUUGGUUCUGGCAUCGAUGAAGAACGCANCGAAAUGCGAUAAGUAGUGUGAAUUGCAGAAUUCAGUGAAUCAUCGAAUCUUUGAACGCACAUUGCGCCCUUUGGUAUUCCUUAGGGCAUGCCUGUUCGAGCGUCAUCUAACCCCUCAAGCAUCGCUUGGUGUUGGGCGCUUGUCCCGCCUCCGCGCGCGGACUCGCCUCGAAAACAUUGGCGGCCUGUGUAUUGGCUUCGAGCGCAGCACAUUUGCGUCUUGACCCCUCUCGCGCAGGCGUCCACGAAGUGACCCCCCAAGUUUGACCUCGGAUCAGGUAGGGAUACCCGCUGAACUUA